UCUUCCUCGAUACAACCCAUUUAUUUGCUGGAUUUGUAUGAAUUUGUUACAUUAUGUUGAUUGCAUUCUUGUAAAUUGAGCUGGAUUUGUUAUUCCUCAUAUCUUUCUUUUGAUCUGUUCUUGUGUGUUUUGUGAUAAGUGGAAGAGCUUGUUUGAUUGUAAUUUCGAAUGAGUGGGGCUGAGCACCAGGAAGUUUGGUUCCUGCUGAUCUAAAAAAUUACUGCCUUAAAUGGUGGAUUGCUAAUGGUCCAAAGGUAGCCACACAUGGAUCAAACAUGAGCUAAAGGCUUAUUUCAGUGAAUGAUGAAAGCUGGGAAACCAAUUUUAGAAGGGCCUGAAAUGCAGAGAUUCUAUGAUAAUGGCCUGUAAGCAUCAGCGAUGAUUUUAAAGGUUCAUUCUCAAGAAAGUUGUUCUCUGUCAUGUAUAGAAAUUCCGAGUGUUGUGUAAUUGUUAGACGUUGUCUUCAUUUACGGAGGAACUUUGUUUGAGUGUUCUUUCCUCUAUGAAAGAUUGGGUGCCGGGGCUGGUUGAUGCGUGACACAAAUAUACGUUAUCAAAAGCUUUGUUUCAACAGCAUAUUUGGAUGGUGAUGGGAUCCACAUGGUCUUUUUGUGACAAUUCAUAAAUAAAUGCUUUUCAGUGAUCUUUGUCAAAGCUCCAGUAUAGGCAUUCUCCAGGAGAAGUUUCUUCAUAAAUAAAUCCGUUCUUCUUCACCUGCUUCUGCAUCCUCUGAGGUGAUAUCUUAUGUUCCCAAUAUGUCAAAAAGCAUUUAGCAUAUCCCCAAAACAGACCCAUUUUUAGUACGGACAAAUGCUUUGAGCAAAGACUACAUUUUGAAGUUGUUACAAGGGCAAAUUGUACCAACUAUUUGCAAAUGCAAUGUGUUUCUAUAUGGCUUGUUUGGAUACCACCCCAUGAGCAACUUUAAAAAAAAAAAAAAACCUUACGGCAACAACAAAAUUACAUUUUUAGUUUAGUUAGUUUGGUAAGUACCCUUUUAAAGGUAACUUAACAUGUCAAAGUAACUGCCAACAGCAAAAAAAAAUUUGCUUUUCAACUUUUUCGUUGUUCCACACACACUCUCUCUCUUCUCUCCACAUAAUGGACAAUCCAUGUCAAAGGUUGGCUCACAUCUUCAAUGUGGUCCCACAUGAUGGAUAGCCCACAUUGAAGGUGGGGCCCACACGAUGGAUGAUCCACAUCAAAGGUGGGCCCCACAUGAUGGGCAAUUAACAUUGAUGGUGGGCCCCGCAUAAUGGAUGACCCACAUCAAAGUGGCCCCCAUGGAAUCGGAUGUCCACAUCAAAUGUUGGCCCAUAAUGAUGAAUGACCCACAUCCAAGGUGAGUCCCACAUGAAGGAUGACCCACAUUUAAGUUGGGGCCCACAUGAUGAACAAUCCACAUCAAUUGUGGGCUCCACAAGAUGGGCAAUGGACAUUGAAGGUGGGCCCCACAUGAUGGAAGAUCCAUAUCAAGGUGGGCCUCACAUGAUGGAUGAUCCAUAUCAAGGUGGACCUCACAUAAUGGAUGAUCCAGAUCAAGGUGGGCCCACAUAAUGGAUGAUACAUGUCAAAGGUUGGCCCCCCAAAUGAUUAGAACUGGACACAAGCCGAACCGGGCUGAACUAUGCCCUAGCUCAGCUCGGCUUGUUCAGCCAAGGGGCCUGACUCAGAGUUCGGCUUGGUUUGAUCAUCGAGCCGACCUGGUCAGCUCGGCUUGGUUUGGUAAUCGAGUCGAGUCGAACUUGAGCCAGGUUCGAGCCGAAUCAAGUUCUAGCCACUUUCGAGCCAGGUUUGAGCUGAUUUGAGUUCUAUUUUUUGGUCUGAAUCAAGUUUAGCUCGUUUGCUUGGUUCGAUUUUAUAAUGUAGGCAAAAGAAGUGAAGUGGAGAAUAAAUCAACAAUAAAACCCAAAAACUUAUGAAUUUGAAUCUAUGAUAAACUGCACAAAAGUUAAGGCAAACUUAGAAGUCAGGGUUCCUUAUAUAUAUAUAUAUAUGUAUAUAUGUACACUGCAUUUAGACUAAACCUAGCCGAAUUGGGCCGAACCGAUCCAAGGUUUGAGACGAGCAAAAUUGGGCUGGUAUACAGCUCCGGCUCAGCCCGAUUUUGAAAAGAGAUGGGAUUUUUGGCUUGGCCAGGCUUGAACAGGCUGCUCGAACGGAACCAAGCUGAGCUAAUUUGGGUUGAACCGAGCGAGCAAACCAAGCUGGCUUUGUUUGUAUUCAACUUUAAUGAUGAAUGGCCAACAUCAAAGGUCGGCCGCACAUGAUGGAUGCCCUACAUCAAAGGUGGGGCCCACACGAUGGAUGGUCCACAUCGAAGGUGACAUCCACAUGAUGGGUGGUGGACAGUGGGCCCCACAUGAUGGGCAAUAACAUUGAUAGUGGACCCUACAUGAUGGAUGACCCAUAUUAAGGCGGGCCCAACGUGAGGGCAAUUCACAUUGAAGGUUGACCCCAAACAAUGAAUGGUCCACACCCCAGGCAGGCGUGCAUAAUGGAUGACUCACUUUGUAAGUUGGGCCUCUCAUGAUGGACGUUCCACAUCCAAUGUUUAACAUGAUGAAUCACCCACAUCUAAGGUGGGUCCCGCAUGAUGGUUAGUCCACAUUGAAGGUGGGCGUCGCAAGGUGGAUGGUUCACAUUAAAGGUUGGCCCCACAUAAUGGACGGUUCGCAUUGAAUACAUGGCCAAGGUGGGCCUAGCAUAAUGAAUGGUCCACAUCGGGUAAGUACUUAUAUAAUGUUGGAAACCAAACAUACUUUUCUACUUUUAGGCUGAUAAGUAUGCUGUUGUGGUAUUCAUUCUCGUUCAGCUCUUGGAAUUACAUCCAACUAUGGUUGGAUCUCCAAACAUACUUAUCUAUUGAAUAUGUAGGAACUAACAUAAGCUACUUGAGGUAUAAGUAGCUUACAUAAAGCAACUAACGAUCCAAACAAGCCCUAAGUUGCUUGUUUAGAAAGUAGAUUGGUUUUUUAUGGGUAAAAAAAUGGUGAGAAGCAUACAUUAAAGAAAAAGCCAAUAUUUAACAACAUAUUGUUGGGGAUAUUUAAAAUAAAAAUAAAAAGAAUAGGAAAAAAUCAAAAGAAAAAAGCACAACAAAAAAUCAUUUGUCUUCUAGCGCAUGUCUUUUAGUGCUUUUUUCUUUUGUUUAUAGUAAAUAGUUCUACAUCGGAUGAGAAGAUGUAAUGAGAAGUGCUUAUAAAGUAUUCCUCUCCCAUACUUUUAUGAAUUGGUGCAUUACUAUGCACAAGUCCGUAUGUGCGUCUAAGGCUGGAUUAGUGGGAAAAAAUGUUUCAGAAAUUAGUUAACCGAGCAGACGCGCUUAAAUGCUCGUACAUAGGGGGAAUCUGGCUCUUGAAUGGCUUGAUCUAGAUAUUAUAUAGGGUCUUAAUGGUUUUGGUUGUGUUUUUUUAAUUCAAGUUUGUUUUUGAAAAAUGUCUUGAAUGGGCUAGAAUGUUUCUCAUUGUUUCCUUUUCGUUUUGAUAAGACCCACUAAAUCUAGAUCAUUUUCUUUGUGAGAAACCUUUCUCAUAAACGACGGGCCCAUCAUAACAGUAAGAAACGGUCAGAAAUGCUUGAUCAUUCACCGGCAUCUUUUGGAAAAUGGUUAACUUUCCCUGGUCUACGCAAAUGGGUCGUAGACUCGUAGUCUAGGUCUUUGGAAGACACACUGUACUACAACAAUAGCAUUGAUAUUUUAUAAAACUACUUUCUUUUUUCACAAAGCUAUUUUCUUAUUGGACAUUCAAACUGGUGCUUGUUUGUGUUCCUUUUUAUUGGGUGUCCGGAUUUCCAGCGGCUUGUGUGCUUUGAAGGAAAUUGUAUGCUGGGCGUUGUAUCUUGGGGAUAGCGUGUCGAGAGCCUACUGUAUCAGUCGAACUAACCGAGGGGCGCAAACUAUCUUAAAAAUAACAACUAUGUUCGUGUCUCACCCGACAUGAAAUUCAAACUCUUUCUCAUUUCGAAGCUAUCCUAGACAAGUGUGAGGUUUCAAUAUGCGUUGUUUUAUUCAUUUUCGAGUUAAUUUCUCAUAGAUAUUAUUUCUUUUGUGUAAAACUUGUGGCUAUUAUUUUGCCUUAUAUUUCUACAUUGAGCCAUCGACCCUAUGUUUCUUUUUCAAUAUCCAUUUACAACUUAAGAUUUUUGCCUCAGGAGGUAAGUUUACCAAUUUCUAUGUGUUAUUAGUUUUGAUGGACUUUAUCUCAUUUGUGACCACUUCUUUCCAAAAUAUGGCAUCAUGCGGGGACAUAGCAUGUUUAAAUGUCAUAGGGUUACCUUCUAGUUGGACUUGAAACACAUGAAAAUUAGGACCAUAGUCCUUGCUAAUCUUAGACCGUUCGCUUAUCGUAAUUUCAGGUUUAGACUUAGGUUCUUCCAAGUCCACUAGAUUUGAGCUGGAUGGUUCAUAUAGUAUUAUAGCAAAGGGACUUCCACUAGAACGAUCGUAACUGUUCUUUAGGUUUUAAGGAAAGAUAUUUUCAUAAAACUCUGCAUUUUUGAAUUCAAUAGAACUUCAUAUCUAGGAAUCUAUUUUCCUUGUUAUGAGAUGCAUACCCCACAAGUAUACAUUUUAGUGGUUCUGGCUCCUAACUUAGGCUUUUUAGGAUCUGUAAGCCUAACAUGGGCAAGACAACCUUAUGGUAUAAGAUAACUAAUAUUUGGUUUUCUACCUUUCCACAAUUCAGAGGGAAUUAUCAUAGAUUUAGUUAUAGGUUCUUUAUUUAGAAUAUAACAAGUAGAAUAGAGAGCUAUCUAGAAGGUAAGAGGAAGACCAAAACUCAGUAACAUAUCAUAUACUAUAUUAAUUAUGGUUCUAAUUUUAUGUUUUGCUACUCCAUUUUGUUUUGGGGAAUAUGGGGCGAUGACUUCAUGAAUAAUUUCAUAGAUUCACAGAAAUUAUCAAAGUUCUUCAAAGUAUAUUCACUAUCUCUAUCACUUCUAAGGAUCUUGGUUUUUUUGUUCAAUUGAUUUUCCGCUUAUCCUAGUUACUUAGAAGUCCUUUGCACACCAGGAAAGGAUUUUCUAGUUACCUUUGACUGUGAGUAGGAAUCCCACUUCUCAAAUUCAUUAUUUCCUAAAGUUGGAAUCAUUCCACAGGCACAAGCAACCAUGUUUUUAAUGAAUUUAACAUUUACAUGAUCUAGUCUACCAUGCCAUAGAGAUAGUGCACACCAUGUAAACAAAAGAAACUUUAUUCAGUUCAACGUUCAAUGUAAACAUGCACUGUUCAUGAUUUGCAUAGCCCUUUGCAACAAAAGAUCCGUUAUUUGUAAUAACGAUGUGGCCAAACUCACAAACCCAUUUCAAACCCGCCUUGUUCAAAAGGUAACCCGAGACCAAAUUCUUCCGUGUUUGGUAUAUGAGGAACAUUUGUUAAAGUAUAGCCUUCCUCAAGGUGAACAUCAUUUCCACCUUUUCGUGUCCAGCUACAUUUGGAGUGACAAUGCUUCCCAUUUGAACCUUUCAUUGCUUGUAACCUCUUCAUAAGAGUCUUGAACCAAUGAUGAUCAUAAUGCACGUGUGCAUUGGCAUUUGUGUCCAUCCACUAUCCAUUACACGAUUAUAAGGGAACCGUGUUAAUCUUCUCGACCACAACACGAUUUGAGGCUCUUUGGUCAGAUUUGCUUGAGGUGUAGGUGUUGGUUGCCCCUUUUUACGAUUGAGACACUUUCUUGCAAAAUGAUCGGGUUUGCCGCUUAUGAAAACACAACAAAUUUGUCUUGGCUAUCGGGUUUCUUAUUCUUGGGCUUGGGCUUGGGCUUAGGCUUCUUUUUUAAUUGGUUUCAGGUUACUGGGUUUUCCCUGAGCUUUCUCAUUCAAGAGAUUGACUUUAGAAACUUCUUUCCUCAAUUCCUCAUUUUCACCUUGACACCUUGCCUAAUCCUCAAUAGGUGUAUUAUGAGGGUUUCCAUGCAGAGCUCUUUGGUUUUGUGACUGAGAGAGUUCUUAAAGUCUUUCCAUGAUAGAGACAAUUUUUCAACAACUGCUGCCACUUGAAAGAGUUCAUCCAAUUUAUUCCCCUUAGAGAUGAUCUCAUGGGCUAUUAGAUUGAACUUGUUUGUUUGUUGAACUACAAAUUUAUCAUCUAUCAUUUGGUAUUUAAAAUACCCGCUCAUCGUGUUUGUUUUCAUGCCUGCUUCAUUUGUUUUAUAUAUCUUUUCCAAGGCAAACCGAAUUCCAAUAAAUGUUAUAUGAGCACAAAAUACAUCAUAUAAUUAGUUGGAUAGUGCACUAUGUAAUUUUUGCAUAGGUAGCGUCUUUGCCCCAUCUUUGAUGGGCAACGAAUAAUUAUGCUUCAUGAAGAUCAGAUGACCUUUUAUUUUUAAUUUAUGACAUGAGCCAUCUGAAGGGUGGUGAGGUGGAAGAACAACUUCUACCUCCACCUUUUACAGUGUUUGCCCAUUGAAUGUUUCUGGACAAAUAGACUUGAAAUCGUUCAAGAAAAUUUUUAGUUCGACAAGGGUCAUCUAUCUCAUACGUGUAAUAUUUAAGCAAAAUUAACUAAAAAAGGAACAAAACAAUGUAUAUUGAAACCUCACACGUGUUUAAGAUAUUGCAAAAGGAAGAAUAAUUUGAAUUUUCUAACAGGCGAGACGCGGGCACAGUCCUUGUCUUUGAGAUAGUUCGCGUCCCUUGGUUGAUUCAAUCGAUGCAGUAGACUCUCAAUGCGCUAUUCCCAUGAUAUAACGUCCAAUGUACAAUUCCUUUCAACAUGCAUGUCUCUGAAAAUUUUAAUACGCAAGGAAAAAGAAUAUUAAGAAACAUCAGUUCGUAUACUCAACACGAAAAUGGUUUUAUGAAAAAAAGAACAAUUUUGUAGAAUUUCGAUGGAAUUGUUGCUAUAUAGUGUCCUCCAAAGACCUAGUCUACGAUUCCUCUAUAUAGAGCUAGGGGGCAUGGUGUGUCGUAAAGGCCGUUACAUAAAGGUAAUGGUGGCAACCAUUACAUGUUACAGGGUUGUAAAGGCCGUUACAGAGAAAAUGACCUGUAAAGGUUAUUACAACCCCCGUAACAGCUUGUGACACCCCUCAUAAAGGCCGUAACGGUCUAUUAGGGGGCUGAUACAAGUUUUUCACAUUCUUUUUUUAUUUAAAAAAGAGACUGUAACGACCAUUACACCAUGUAUCGUAAAGGUAAUGGCGGUGGACGUUAUGACCACUAUUAUCGUUUCAGAAUACCUUGCCUAGGGGAGGUAUUUGUUUUCCACAAGUAGCUCAUGGACGGUCAAGCUUUUCUAAUUUGGAUUUAGUAGGCCUCAUCAAAACAAAAAGGAAACGGUGAGAAACAUGUUUUAAGAAAAACAAUGCAAAACCAAGUCCAUCAAGACCUUAUGAAGGGUCUAGAUCAAGCCAUGGGAGUAUUUGGGCAUGCACGCCUGGUUAAUUAGUUUCUGGGCUAGUUUUUCCAUUAGGCCAGCCUCGAGCACCUGUAUGGGCCGGUGCAUAGUAAUAUGCAUCAAUUUACAAAUGUUUGAGAGAUGAAUGCUUUGUAAGUACUUUUCAUUCCAUCUUCCCACUCGAUGCGGGACUAUUUGCCAUGCACAAAGAGACAAAAUACUAGAACACAAAAAGAAAAAAAGGAAGGUUUGUUUUGUUGUGCUUUUUCCUUUUUGAAUUUUUUUUUUUUUUUUUUGUGUUCUUUUUAUUUUUAUUUGAAAUAUCUCCAACAGAUGUACCUUGUCUUGCAACGUGUUACCCAUCUCUUGGUAAAUAUCACACAAAGUAAAAGCCUGCAGUCAAUUGUUCGGCAAAAAAUCAGGAUUGAUAAUAUCCACUAUUACUAUCAACAGCUACAACGAGGAGUUGCAAUUCUUACAUGAUCAUUUUAUUAGCUUGUGACAAAAUGGGGUAUGGAGGGAGGGAUGGAGGAGGGAGGUUUUUGCUGCAAUUGAUUUGGUGGUUGUUUCCAUGUCCAUGUCUAUGUUAACGGGACUCAAACGAAUUAACAUCCUAAAUUAGGAGGAGAUGCGCAACUAAUGCAAAAAGAUAUAGGCUCAAUCCUUAACCUCUCCACUAGUGGUCCUCGCAUUUGUUCCUGCUCCCACAAACACAUUCUUAAUCAUCUUCUUAAGACUCUGUUUCCCAACAUCUACUUGAUUAAGUCAUGUGCUUUCUCGAAAUUAAUAAAGAUAUGUGGAGAUCCUUCCCUCUCCCAAUGUUUCUUUACCAUCGAAGUAGGAAAAUGGCUUCAAUAGUUGACCUUCUUGGCAUAAAUCUAAACUGAUUUGAUUAAUUUUUCUCACAUCUUAACCUUUGCUUUAUCGCUCGUUCCCAAUGUUUAUAGUAUAAGUUUAAUCCCAGUAUAGUUAUUGUAGCUCUGUAUGUCUCCUUUAUUCUUAUAAAUAAAUACCAUGGUACUUCCAUUCUUCGAGCAUUUUCUUCGAUCUUACACUCUUGUUGAACAAAUUUAUCAACCAAAAUAAACCAGCAUCUCCUGUACACUUCCUCUGCAGAAUGAAGAUGUUCUGGGCCUUUGUUUCCAAAGCCAGCCAAGCUAAUUGGGCCAAAAUCUGCCCACCUCAAUUUGUAGGACGAGUCAUUGUUUUGCACCAAAGAACAGAAAA
Long non-coding RNA from Magnolia sinica, 8566 nucleotides. RefSeq lists it as uncharacterized. NCBI's taxonomy places the organism in Eukaryota, Viridiplantae, Streptophyta, Magnoliopsida, Magnoliales, Magnoliaceae. The record is from RefSeq and is a predicted model, not a curated record. The transcript is spliced from 2 exons.